Molecule: ribosomal RNA, 253 nt
Filed under: uncultured bacterium
Lineage: Bacteria
Description: partial 16S ribosomal RNA
Rfam family: Bacterial small subunit ribosomal RNA
Source: RNAcentral
UCCGAACCGGGCAAACGUUAUUCGGAAUCACUGGGCUUAAAGGGUGCGUAGGCGGCGCUUCAAGUCGGGUGUGAAAUCCCUCGGCUCAACCGAGGAAUUGCGCCCGAUACUGUAGUGCUCGAGGAGGAUAGAGGUGAGCGGAACUAGCAGUGGAGCGGUGAAAUGCGUUGAUAUUGCUGGGAACACCCGUGGCGAAAGCGGCUCACUGGGUCCUUUCUGACGCUGAGGCACGAAAGCUAGGGUAGAGAACGGG